This is a long non-coding RNA of Ooceraea biroi (clonal raider ant), 627 nucleotides long. RefSeq lists it as uncharacterized. NCBI's taxonomy places the organism in Eukaryota, Metazoa, Arthropoda, Insecta, Hymenoptera, Formicidae. The record is from RefSeq and is a predicted model, not a curated record.
GCAGCAUCGGCCGCUCGUGCACCAGCGCCUCUCACGUCGGCACGUCGCUUCGUCUAUUCUCGUCUGCUGUGCGAAUCCGCUCCGUUUCGCGCGAGAAUGCGACAGGACAAAUUGCAGUUGCGAUUGCGCCAACUCGCGUUGGCGCAUACUAGGUGACUCACGAUUAACGCACGUAUCUUAUCGACUCUGCCCCCGCAACGGCUCGCAAUGUUUUCAAUCGAGACUUCGAGACACGUGCAACGUCGUGUAAGCCGGAUUAAUUAGCGUCAUCGAGGCUAUUCUUAUCUCGAGGACCACCUGAAACUAUUUGCUCCGUGUCCCGUACAUACGUGAGGCGAACUUGACAAGAGAAGAAUUGAGAAGUUUUAAAGAAUGUGUUAUGAAACAAAGUUGCAAGAACAUCUUCCUCGAGAGCACUUUGGUCGCUUCAAUCCAACUUCAAGAGGUCUCUCGUAACAGAUUUUAUUUUCAACAAGUUACAUCCCUCGCAACGUACAAUAUGUAUUUCUCGAACAUUAUAUAGUAUGUGCCAGCAUUUGGAGCUAUACAAGCGCUAUUUUCCUAUGUAAUCAAUAUACAGGCCAUUUAUUAAUAAAAGUGAGCACGGCUGCUCUACAUUGACAAGAC